AAGCGAGCAACGUCGUUGCCACUCCAGCCCCGUUAGACGCCCCAGCCACCACAACUACGAUCCCGCUGGUCACCUCACUGCCCAACCAACAGUCACCCGCUGGAGACUCCCAUCCCCCGUUCGUCGUCUCUUCUCCAAUCAACAAUGAUAAAAUUCUUCAAGUCCAUGUCUCUUCUCCAAUCAACAAUGAUAAAAUUCUUCAAGUCCAUGAAGGAUUCACAUUUAGGAUGUGAAUCCUCCUCAGGUUCGUCGUUCUAUUUUAAUUUUUAUCAAAAAUUUCUUCUACCCUUUUUUUUAGUUUUGACAGAUCCCAUGAUAAAAUUGAUAUGGAUUGAUUGAGAAUUUUGUCAAUUUUUGUGGAAUUCUGUUUGUUUAGUCAACU
This 382-nucleotide long non-coding RNA is filed under the name Capsicum annuum. RNAcentral's name for it is "long non-coding RNA (CANN_LNC008270)". Lineage: Eukaryota; Viridiplantae; Streptophyta; Magnoliopsida; Solanales; Solanaceae. The record is from RNAcentral.